Saimiri boliviensis boliviensis (Bolivian squirrel monkey) is the source of this 688-nucleotide long non-coding RNA. RefSeq lists it as uncharacterized. The record is from RefSeq and is a predicted model, not a curated record. NCBI's taxonomy places the organism in Eukaryota, Metazoa, Chordata, Mammalia, Primates, Cebidae.
CCGCUGUAGGAUGUCAGGCCGGGAACCCCAGGAAGCAGGGGAAGAGAGGGAGAUACCUCUUCAUUCCAGGCCCAGGAUACAGCCAGCUCUGCAGUGGUCUACGAACCAUGACAAUCUAUCACUGCCUCCCAGGCCAGGAACAUGUUUUCACCAAGACCUUUGAAGAGCAGACACUGACCCUGUGCCUGGACACCCCGUGAAAUUAAAGAUCCAUCUGCUGCUGUCCCCGUGGGAAAGUGAACAGGGACGACACCUCUCGCCAGCUCUGGGUGGCCCCUGUGGCUCUGCCCUUUGCUGCCCAGCUCAAGUCCUCCUCAACAUCCCUCUUCUCUAGCCCAACUCCACUCUCCCCACCUGAGUACAGACCCUCGUCAUUCCCAUUUUGCCCCUUCCUCUGGUCCCCCAGCCCUCCUCCCUAGUGUAUUUUAUACACGGCUCGGAGGAUGCUCCAGUCUGUUCACUUAGCCCCUGCCCCGGUGUCUCCUCACCUUGGCGAUAAAAUCCACACUCCUGAGUGUGAGUGCAAAGUCCUUCCUGGCAUGGCCCCUGCCUCCUCCGUUUCCCCAGGCCUUGAUCUACUGCACAAGUCCCUCUAUCAGCAGCUCCCAAAGGCCAGCUCCCUGGCAGGGCUGAUCCCGAUAAAGUGUUCCACAGUCAGCAAUAUUGAGGGAAAAGCAGCAAUACUGAU